AUUGAACGCUGGCGGCAGGCUUAACACAUGCAAGUCGAGCGGUAACAGAGAGAAGCUUGCUUCUCUGCUGACGAGCGGCGGACGGGUGAGUAAUGCCUAGGAAUCUGCCUAGUAGUGGGGGAUAACUUGCCGAAAGGUAAGCUAAUACCGCAUACGUCCUACGGGAGAAAGGAGGGGACCUUCGGGCCUUUCGCUAUUAGAUGAGCCUAGGUCGGAUUAGUUAGUUGGUGAGGUAGUGGCUCACCAAGACCGCGAUCCGUAACUGGUCUGAGAGGAUGAUCAGUCACACUGGAACUGAGACACGGUCCAGACUCCUACGGGAGGCAGCAGUGGGGAAUAUUGGACAAUGGGGGGAACCCUGAUCCAGCCAUGCCGCGUGUGUGAAGAAGGUCUUAGGAUUGUAAAGCACUUUAAGUUGGGAGGAAGAGCAGUUAACUAAUAUUUGACUGUUUUGACGUUACCGACAGAAUAAGCACCGGCUAACUUCGUG
RNAcentral lists this ribosomal RNA (490 nucleotides) under uncultured bacterium. RNAcentral describes it as "partial 16S ribosomal RNA". It matches the Rfam family "Bacterial small subunit ribosomal RNA", at positions 30 to 507 of the family's 1533-position model. The record is from RNAcentral.